AUGUAUCAUUAUCGUAAAUUCGAUACAUAUUAUGAAGAAAAUAGUAAUGUAUACAAAGUGUUGGAACAUUUAGAUAUUUACCUAAACAAAUACAGAAGUAAUAUUUUAUCUGGAAAAAAAAAAUAUAUUUUUUAUGUUUGCUCUACUAUUGAUAAAAAAAAGUUAGGUUGGUGGAGUAGUAAUAAAUAUUUCCCUUGUUUUUUUCAUAAAUUUGACAAUAUGUAUAAAUAUCAAAAUAUUGCUAAAAGUAAAUACAAAACAGAUAUAUUCAAAUUGUCUUUAGAACUUUUUUAUGAAAAUUAUCAUAAGGUAGAAGAAGAUUUAAAUUUUUCAAGAAUUUCCAAUAUUCCAUUUUUUAAUUUAUUAAAUAUAAAUAAAAAAAAUGAAAAACAUAAAUUUGUUUAUGAUACAUUAUAUGCUUAUUUUUUAAAAAAAUAUAAAGGUGUUUUAUGGUUAUCCUAUUUUGGGCAUUAUGAUUUAGGGAUACCUUAUUUAAAUAUAACUAAUUUUUGUGAUUUUGACUUAGUAAAAAAAAAUAUCGAUAUAGUAAAUCAAGGUAUAUAUAGAGGUUAUAUUGUUCACUUAUUUUUUAACGAAUCUUUAAUUUUUAAUAGUGUAAGAUUAUUUACAAAAUAUGCAAAUAAUAAAAACACAAAUGAGUUUUUUUCAUUUGUAGAAAAUAAAAACACGAAACAAAAUAAGGAAGAAAUUGACAAGAGAUCAGGUAAAUAUAAUGAAAUGAUUAAAAAAAUGGAUAAAAAUAAAAUAGGUACAACAAAUAACGAUUAUAAUAAAGACGAAUUGGAAAAUGAAUUAUCAACAACUGAUGAUAACGAUUUGAAUAAUAAUUAUACCGGUUUUGAUGAAAAAAACGAUCAUAAUAAAAACUAUGGUGAUAUCAAUAUGAAUAAAAAAAAAAGUUUAAUAAAAAAUAAAUACGACAUUAAUACGAUAGUAGAAAAUAAUGCACAUGUAUCACAAUUUAGUAACUAUGCAUUUAAAUUAUUAGGACAAUGUUUAGAAUAUCUUAUUUCUAAAAUAUCUUCUUUAUCUAUGCUUAUAACAAAUAAAAGUUUUGAAAGUAUAUCUGAUAUUUUUACUUCUUUUUAUUCAUGGGUUUCUAAUAAUUCUAGUUUACUUUAUGAUGUUGCUUUAUAUAAUAAAGUAAUUGAAUGUUCAGAAAUGUAUCAAAAUAAUUUAAUAAAUAUUUUGAAAAAACAAUUUAAUGCUAAUAUUAUUUAUGCAGAUUUACGUAAUUUUGUAAUAUCAUUUAAUGAAUUUUCAGUUAUAUCUGGUCGUAAUAUUUUAAAAAAUUUAAUAAAAUAUUUUUCUCAUAAAGAUUCUAUUUAUGCAAAUGUACCAUUUUAUAUAAAACAUGAAUAUAUAGCAGCUUGUCAAUUUGAUAGAUACAAUUUUAUACGUUAUAAAGAAUAUACUAAUCCUAAUGAAGAAAAUACAGAUGAAAAUUUAAAAAUUAUUGAAUAUUUACCACCUAUAUGUGAAACUUUUUUAAGAUAUAUUUUAGACAUGAUUAUUUUAAAUCCAUUACAAGAUAUAAUAACUUCAUACGAUCCAACACAAGAAUCUAGUGAUGAUACUACAACAGCUUCUUUAAGUAAUGGUAAAAGAAUGUGUGACGACAGUAAAGAAGAUGACAAUAAAAACAUGGGAAUAGUAUUAGGUAAUAAUAACUACAUACAUAAUAAUAUUGAUAAAAACCACAACAAUAACAAUAUUAAAACAAUUUUACAUUCUUAUGAAAAAAAAAAUCAUUAUAAUACAAUACUAAAGACAGAUAAACUAACAGAUAAAAUAAAUUUAGUACAAAAAGCAAAUUUAAAAUAUAUUUUUGAUCAAUCUUUUAAUGAGUUACAAGAAGUAUGUGAAAGUUUUCUUUUAAUAAAUGAAAAUGUAGAUGUACUGUCAUACAAAAUUGAAGAAAAAAUAAAAAGUUUAUGGUUUAUUCCUGGAAAUAUAUAUAAAAAAGUAAAAAAAUCUAUUAAAUAUAAAAAAUAUUUAAUUGAAAAUUAUUGGCCAUAUAAUGAAGAUGAUGAAGAAAUGGAAGAAACUAAUAUAAAUGUAGCACCAUUCUUAUUUCCUAAAACAUUAGGAAAUUUAGCAAAAAAAGAUAAUAAUUGGAAACUCGAAAUUGUUAAAUUUUGUAUUUUUCUUAUGCAAAAUGAUAAAUUAUUAAAUUUAGAAAAUGAAAAUUCAAACGAGGCAUUCCAUGAAAAAAGACAUGAAUUAUAUGAAAUCGUAGGAGAAACUGAAUAUAAUUCUAACAGUGCUUUAUGGAAAAGUCCAUGUCAUGAAUUAAUUUUAAAAGAUAUCUUUUGCGAACAUUGUUCAUCUGUUUAUCACAUGAACGUUGUCACAACUCUAGUAGAAGCAGAAAUUAGUGGAAAAAAUACUUUUAUUUGGCUCUGCAAAAAUUGCAAUUCCAAACUCGAUAAUGAAUUUAUAGAGUUGAGAAUUUUGUCUUUAUUGCAGGAGACGUUUGAUGCGUACAACGCACAAGACUUAAUAUGUAACAACUGUAAUGCGAUAAAAUCAGUUCACAGAAGAUUAAUUUGCAAAUGUGGUAAAGCAUUUGCGCCUCGUUUAGAUAUAAACAACUGGAAACAAACUUUAGAUAUAAUAGAAAACUUAGCUACCAUGAUAAAUAUGCCAAUACUAUCAGAUGUAUUAUAUUCUAUGAAAAAUUAUCUUAUCUAAUUUUUUUUUAUUUAUUUAUUUAUUUAUUUUUUUUUUUUUUUUUUGCCUAUAUAUGUAUACAUAAAUAUGUGCACAUAUGCGCGUACCACUAUUCACCAUAAUUUUUAUUUGUUUACGUAUAAAAAACGAAUUCUAUUUUGAAAAAAAUAAUACAUGCUUCUAAUGACAAAUGUGCAUGUAUUAUACAUAUACAUAUAUACCAAACACUUUUUAAUAUGUUAAAUAAUUUUAUUAAGAAAAAAAAAAAAAAAAAAAAAAAAAAAAAAAUUUCCUAUUAACAUAUAAUUACAUAUACAUACGCAUACAUAUAUCGAUGUGUAUAUAUUAAUGAUUAUAACACUUAUGAAUUAUCAUGGCACACACAAAAGUACAAAAAAAAAAAUUGUUUCUUUAAAAGUUAUAUAUAUAGAAAAUUUAGUAUAUUGUUUAAUUAUGGUGCGAACAAAACAAAAAAAUUUUAAAAAAAACAAAAAACUAAAAAUUAAACCUACAUUUUUUUUUUUUUUUUUUUUUUUUUUCUAAUAAUAGUUUUGUUUUAUUUUUUUUACGCGUUGGCAUUCUAUAUCAUUUUAUUGAAUCUAUUGCAAAUGAACUUUCUUUUCAUGAAUUAUGAUCCAGUUUUGAGAAAAAUUUUGUCAUUUGCAUAUUUAUUGUAUAUUAAACGCACAGAUAUAUAUUUACACAUGUCUAUUUAUUUAUGCAUUUAUUUGUUUAUUUAUUUGUUUAUUUGUUUAUUUAUUUAUUUAUUUAUUAAUUUAUUUGUUUAUUUAUUUCUUUGAGUGUGGGUAUUCAACUUCUCUGUAAUCAUUCUUUUAAGUUUUUAAGAUAUGACUGAAUAUCUAGAAACGUUAAAAUUAACGAAUUACACAUAAGUAUAUGUAAUUGCAAUGUAUGUAAUAUAUACAUAUAUAUAUAAUAUAUGUGAACGAUACAUAUUAUUUUUUUUUUUUUUUUUUUUAAAUUUUACCUUGAAUGACAAUAUAUUGCAAGGGAUUCGGUA
This is a long non-coding RNA of Piliocolobus tephrosceles (Ugandan red Colobus), 3715 nucleotides long. The record is from Ensembl. Lineage: Eukaryota; Metazoa; Chordata; Mammalia; Primates; Cercopithecidae.